RNAcentral lists this ribosomal RNA (492 nucleotides) under uncultured bacterium. Its description in RNAcentral is "partial 16S ribosomal RNA". It matches the Rfam family "Bacterial small subunit ribosomal RNA", at positions 29 to 507 of the family's 1533-position model. The record is from RNAcentral.
AGUGAACGCUGGCGGUAGGCCUAACACAUGCAAGUCGAACGGCAGCACAGUAAGAGCUUGCUCUUACGGGUGGCGAGUGGCGGACGGGUGAGGAAUACAUCGGAAUCUACUUUUUCGUGGGGGAUAACGUAGGGAAACUUACGCUAAUACCGCAUACGACCUACGGGUGAAAGCAGGGGAUCUUCGGACCUUGCGCGAUUGAAUGAGCCGAUGUCGGAUUAGCUAGUUGGCGGGGUAAAGGCCCACCAAGGCGACGAUCCGUAGCUGGUCUGAGAGGAUGAUCAGCCACACUGGAACUGAGACACGGUCCAGACUCCUACGGGAGGCAGCAGUGGGGAAUAUUGGGCAAUGGGCGCAAGCCUGAUCCAGCCAUACCGCGUGGGUGAAGAAGGCCUUCGGGUUGUAAAGCCCUUUUGUUGGGAAAGAAAGGCAGCAGGUUAAUACCCCGCUGUUCUGACGGUACCCAAAGAAUAAGCACCGGCUAACUUCGUG